This 119-nucleotide small nuclear RNA is filed under the name Oryza punctata. RNAcentral describes it as "snRNA U5". It matches the Rfam family "U5 spliceosomal RNA". Rfam says of the family: U5 RNA is a component of both types of known spliceosome. The precise function of this molecule is unknown, though it is known that the 5' loop is required for splice site selection and p220 binding, and that both the 3' stem-loop and the Sm site are important for Sm protein binding and cap methylation. Lineage: Eukaryota; Viridiplantae; Streptophyta; Magnoliopsida; Poales; Poaceae. The record is from Rfam by way of RNAcentral.
AGCUGCGCUGUGGGCACAAAGCGAACUAUUCUUUCGCCUUUUACUAAAGAAUACCGUGUGCUCGCUGCAAAUAGCAGCAUACUCGAAUUUUUUGAGGGGAUUUCCAGCAUUUGGAGAAC